RNAcentral lists this ribosomal RNA (810 nucleotides) under uncultured bacterium. RNAcentral describes it as "bacterial SSU rRNA". It matches the Rfam family "Bacterial small subunit ribosomal RNA", at positions 57 to 917 of the family's 1533-position model. The record is from RNAcentral.
GCAGUCGAGCGCGCCCUUCGGGGUGAGCGGCGGACGGGUGAGUAACGCGUGGGAACGUGCCCUUUGCUGCGGAAUAGCCACUGGAAACGGUGAGUAAUACCGCAUGAGCCCUUCGGGGGAAAGAUUUAUCGGCAAGGGAUCGGCCCGCGUUGGAUUAGGUAGUUGGUGGGGUAAUGGCCUACCAAGCCGACGAUCCAUAGCUGGUUUCAGAGGAUGAUCAGCCACACUGGGACUGAGACACGGCCCAGACUCCUACGGGAGGCAGCAGUGGGGAAUCUUAGACAAUGGGCGCAAGCCUGAUCUAGCCAUGCCGCGUGAGUGACGAAGGCCCUAGGGUCGUAAAGCUCUUUCGCCUGUGAAGAUAAUGACGGUAGCAGGUAAAGAAACCCCGGCUAACUCCGUGCCAGCAGCCGCGGUAAUACGGAGGGGGUUAGCGUUGUUCGGAAUUACUGGGCGUAAAGCGCGCGUAGGCGGACCAUCAAGUUGGGGGUGAAAUCCCGGGGCUCAACCCCGGAACUGCCUCCAAAACUGGCGGUCUGGAGUUCGAGAGAGGUGAGUGGAAUUCCGAGUGUAGAGGUGAAAUUCGUAGAUAUUCGGAGGAACACCAGUGGCGAAGGCGGCUCACUGGCUCGAGACUGACGCUGUGGUGCGAAAGUGUGGGGAGCAAACAGGAUUAGAUACCCUGGUAGUCCACACCGUAAACGAUGAAUGCCAGUCGUCGGCAAGCAUGCUUGUCGGUGACACACCUAACGGAUUAAGCAUUCCGCCUGGGAGUACGGCCGCAGGUUACAACUCAAAUGAAUUGACGAA